UCGAAAGAUGUGCUACUACCGCAUAUUCUCUGAGGAGGAAAGUAGGGGAUCGAAAGACCUUCUGCUUUUGGAGCGGCCGAUGUCUGAUUAGCUAGUUGGUAAGGUAAUGGCUUACCAAGGCGACGAUCAGUAGUUGGUCUGAGAGGACGGCCAGCCACACUGGGACUGAGACACGGCCCAGACUCCUACGGGAGGCAGCAGUGGGGAAUUUUGGACAAUGGGCGCAAGCCUGACCCAGCAAUGCCGCGUGAGUGCAGAAGGCCUUCGGGUUGUAAAGCUCUUGCAGUAGAGAUGAAGAGGUUGUGACUAAUAAUCAUAACUCAUGACGGUAUCGACAGAAGAAGCACCGGCUAACUACGUGCCAGCAGCCGCGGUAAUACGUAGGGUGCGAGCGUUAAUCGGAAUUACUGGGCGUAAAGGGUGCGCAGGCGGUUCUGUAAGUCAGAUGUGAAAUCCCCGGGCUUAACCUGGGAACUGC
Molecule: ribosomal RNA, 478 nt
Filed under: uncultured bacterium
Lineage: Bacteria
Description: bacterial SSU rRNA
Rfam family: Bacterial small subunit ribosomal RNA
Source: RNAcentral